RNAcentral lists this ribosomal RNA (253 nucleotides) under uncultured bacterium. Its description in RNAcentral is "partial 16S ribosomal RNA". It matches the Rfam family "Bacterial small subunit ribosomal RNA", at positions 524 to 776 of the family's 1533-position model. The record is from RNAcentral.
CACGUAGGGCGCAAGCGUUGUCCGGAAUUAUUGGGCGUAAAGGGCUCGUAGGCGGUUUGUCGCGUCAGGAGUGAAAACUCGGGGCUUAACCCCGAGCCUGCUUCUGAUACGGGCAGACUAGAGGUAUGCAGGGGAGAACGGAAUUCCUGGUGUAGCGGUGAAAUGCGCAGAUAUCAGGAGGAACACCGGUGGCGAAGGCGGUUCUCUGGGCAUUACCUGACGCUGAGGAGCGAAAGUGUGGGGAGCGAACAGG